This 391-nucleotide ribosomal RNA is filed under the name uncultured bacterium. RNAcentral's name for it is "bacterial SSU rRNA". It matches the Rfam family "Bacterial small subunit ribosomal RNA", at positions 28 to 419 of the family's 1533-position model. The record is from RNAcentral.
GACGAACGCUGGCGGCGUGCUUAACACAUGCAAGUCGAACGGUGACGAGGAGCUUGCUCCUCCGAUCAGUGGCGAACGGGUGAGUAACACGUGAGCAACCUGCCCCAGACUCUGGGAUAACAGUUGGAAACAGCUGCUAAUACCGGAUACGAGACGGAGAGGCAUCUCUACCGUCUGGAAAGUUUUUCGGUCUGGGAUGGACUCGCGGCCUAUCAGCUAGUUGGUGAGGUAAUGGCUCACCAAGGCGACGACGGGUAGCCGGCCUGAGAGGGCGACCGGCCACACUGGGACUGAGACACGGCCCAGACUCCUACGGGAGGCAGCGGUGGGGAAUAUUGCACAAUGGGCGAAAGCCUGAUGCAGCGACGCCGCGUGAGGGAUGACGGCCUUC